UUCAGCUGAUGAACACAUGCAUGCCCAUUAACCAUUUUGGUUGUCAAGGGAGUUACAGACAGGCCGGCAUCGAAUUUUUAUUAUGGAAUGCAUUAUUUACUCCUACCUUCCCACACUCUCACACAUCAAACACAGGCAAACCACACCAACCAGGCUGUUUGGGCUUCCCAUCAAUGAAACCACCAAGCUGCCACAAGGAAAAUUCCUUGUCUCAACGCCUCCUCUGAGGACCCAAGCUUUCACGACCUCAUCUGUCGUCCUCGGCUUCAAUUCUUCCUCAGCCGAUUCCCCGGGUGACUUCUCUGUCUUGAUUCAGACAAGUGCUGUACUCCUUUUUGUCUAUUGGCUUGCAAAUUUCGUCGUACCAGGCAUAGUUUCAAAAUAUCUCCAAUCUGAUGGAUCGAGUGAAGACGAAGCUCGCACUGAUAAAAAUCCCUAACAAGAUGGAGGAAGCACGCGUACCACCAGUAAAUCAGGAUCAAGUGCGAAGAAAUACAGCUUCAAGAAGACAUACUGGUAUUUGUUUUCUGGGUUUCUCAUUGGUAAAACAUCUUUUAAGACCAUGCCUUAGCUUGUUUCAUCCACAGUCCAAAUAUUGCAAUGUCAGAGGAUACUGACUUUGAGUUUGAACGUGUAUCGAACUGAAUAAUGAUAUAUGUCACUACAUUGAAUUCAUCCA
This is a long non-coding RNA of Nelumbo nucifera (sacred lotus), 679 nucleotides long. RefSeq lists it as uncharacterized. Lineage: Eukaryota; Viridiplantae; Streptophyta; Magnoliopsida; Proteales; Nelumbonaceae. The record is from RefSeq and is a predicted model, not a curated record.